CCCUUCUAGAGCCGCCGCCACACCUUCCGGUCGUUGUUGUCUUCUUCCUCUUGUUUUCCCUUCUUCCUCUUUCUUUUUCUUUUUCCUCGUUUUUCUUCCUCUUCUCCAUUCUUCUGUUCUUCUUCCUCCUCUAUACUCCUUUCUUCUUCUUCUCCUAAGUCCUGCCGCAUGGCCCCAAGAAAAGGCCUUCAGCCGCUGCCUUCGAAGCCGCGUUCCGUGGCACGAAUUCAUCGGUACAAAAAGAAGAGUGAAGGUACAAGAUUUUCCAUGACAGGAAGAAGGUGAAAGGGUUCAAACCUAAAUUGUCAAGAACUUUCUACGACUUCCGACACAUCCCAACUUAAUCGAUCUCAUCUGGGAGAGAAUGUACUCCCCGAAAUGCUUGCAAUCCAAGCAACAUCCGACGAUCCAUUAUUCUCAGCCACACCAUGAAGCUCCAUUGUAUUUUCAUUCAAAAAUGGGGGAUUUGACGGCACCGGAAGAUCUUCUUCUUUAUUCACGAGCAUUUGUAGCACCCUCGACAUGGAUGGCCGCCGCGAAGAGACUUCUUGUGUGCACAACAACCCCACAUGAACGGCUCGUACAAUCUCAUCUUUAAUGUUGUUGUUCCUUUGGUAGUUAUUCGCGAUCAAGUUUGGGUCGAUGAUUUCCUCAACUGUCCUUAGCUGGAAAUGCUUCCACACCUGAUUCAUGUUGAAUGACAGAAAUGAUUUCCAGAACAAGAACCCCGAAGCUAUACACGUCGGCUUUCUCUGUCAACUGCCCGUGGGUAAAGUAUUCGGGUGCCAUGUAUCCUCUUCAGACCAACAACAUAAGAUGUCAUGAAUAUUAAUUAAUAACCUCACGCAAAAGUUUUGAUCAGUACUAACCUUGUCUAUAAAUUUAUUGUUCGGAUUUUCUUAAGGUGGAUUUGUGUACUUACAAUGUUCCUGCGAUGGCGGUGCUUAUAUGACUUUUAUCGUCUUGGAACGACCUCGCGAGCCCGAAAUCAGCAAUUUUUGGCUGGAAUCUUGAGUCCAAGAGAAUAUUACUUGCCUUUAUAUCGCGGUGAAUGAUUCGAGCUCUCGUAUUCUCGUGGAGGUAGAUCAGUCCUUCUGUUGUCCCUAUUAUUAUUUCAAAUCUUUUUUCCCAAUUCAGUUCCUUCCCUUUGGUAGCAUC
This is a long non-coding RNA of Andrographis paniculata, 1158 nucleotides long. RefSeq lists it as uncharacterized. The transcript is spliced from 3 exons. The record is from RefSeq and is a predicted model, not a curated record. NCBI's taxonomy places the organism in Eukaryota, Viridiplantae, Streptophyta, Magnoliopsida, Lamiales, Acanthaceae.